CCCAACAGGAUACGCAGUGGAGAACAAUAGGCUAAGACUAGAGUGAACACCUGUUCCGCCUCACGUCGUAUUUCACAUCGAUUUUAGCCUCCGUUCCGCGUCAAAUUGAACAUUUUGUCCCACUUUUUCAUUACUUUAUUGAAAAUAAACUAUUUUUAUUUACCUGGCUAUAUCUAUGACUAUCAGUGGAGUCUAUAGCAAUGAUAGGUGACUUCGUGGAUAAGGUGCUAGCUUACAGGCUCACUGGUGUGUCAAUCAAACUGCUAACUAGCCGCAGUAGCACACACUUUAGCGUCUGGAAUCGUAAAGCGCUGUUUUGAAACUGUAAAGGGGCCCAUGUACAGUGUACCGACAAAAAAAGAAGACGCCACCGUUUGGUUGAUACCGGUACCGAUUCUGAACCGGCAUUCUGAAGUUUGUGUAAAUAAACGGCCUUUCUGUCGGAUAUGGUGGUGAAUCGUCGUGAAUGGGAAACGAUACAAUGCACUACUGGCUGUUUUGACUGUGAGAGGAAACUGGAGUACACACCAGGGCAACAUGCUGGACAACUCCAUCAGUUUCGGCCUGAUAUCAGAGACUUGCAGGUUCAAAUCCCACCCGGAGUCUUCACAUCCCAUACAAGCUGCAGCAGGAGGCGCCAUUAAGUAUGUGGUUCCUCUGGGCCUCGAAACUAGGACCUCCUGUGUGUAAGGCAAGCAUGAUAACCACUACACCAUUGAACUACUAAAUGCAUAUAUUUGUGAUCAUCUUACUCUGAGGCGACCACCCUACCACUGUAAAGUAACAAUUGUGGUCCAUGGCUUGGCAGUACUUCCUAUCCUAACCCCUCCAGCUGCCAAUCAGAAUCUUUCAGCAUCCCGUCUCUCCCGUCUCUAUUGCAUGCAGUUUUGGUUUUGUUUUGAACACCUGACACGAAUCAAAUUGACUGGAUUAAGUUGUUCUAACAGCAUAAACAGCAGAUGAGAAGCGAGCGAGGUGAGGGAGGAUCCGCCUCCCCCUCUUGGCUUUUUUUUUAAUUGCCAGACGAACUCGCCCACUGUCACGUCGCGGUGCCCUUUUCUUGAGUGCUUACACAGCUGAGAGCGCUUAUUGAGUUAUGAUGUUGUUGCAGCACUUGAUAGUUCAUUACUGCGGUAGACAAGUGAUGCAAGCGGCGAGCUUUGCCCUUUCAUGAUCAAUCCUAAAUUCAUCAGCGCUCCUCAAAGGACCCCCGACUUGAUUAAAACACACUCCAGUCCAAUUCAUAGACAUUGUCGGAUUUCUCUGCGGGCCACUCAUUUCACUUAUAAUCAAUGUGGCUCUCGCACUUUGCUCUUCAGCACCGCAGCUUCACCGCUGGUUAAAUGGAGUUGAACCCAGACGGCCUCCAGGUGAAAACGAACCACCGCCGUACGUCCCAAAGAAAACAUCUGGUGACACCGUGCAGUGCCUGACAUGCGGAGGACAACAGAUCACUCCUAUUUUAGGACAGCGGUGCUUAGGCAGAGACUAGAGUCCAUCAUCAUCUCCUCAUUUCCUGCAGCUAUUUGAGACGAUGCCCGACUAAAAUAGACCCAAAAUGACCGCAGUGACAGAUCACCUGACAUCAAAGCCGGGCACAGUUGAAUAUCAUCAGCACCAUCACUGACCACGUGCCCGUGAAUCCCUGUCUGACGUGGAACCUUGUCAAGAUGGGAAAAUAACCCAUCUGUCCAGCAAACGCUUCCAUAUGGACACAAAGGACGCAGCGCAUUCUUCUGGAAAUGAAAGCAGCUCCUUUCAUCUAAGAGACAUAAUCAAUAAUUGAUAAGGCCUGCCGCCGCAGGGUUUGAGGAUAAAUCGGGACGAGAAGGAGUGACGGGACGCGAGCAAGGUGCCCAGUACACUUUCCAACCUUGGGGCCUUCUGAAGUCGAACCAGCUGUGUUUCCCUUCAUGUGGUAAAUGGGAACGUGAACAAGGCAUGACAUCAUCAGAAAGGGACCUGUGACCACAGAGGAGGUGCCAGCUGCUGAGGGAGCGCCAGGUUGGAUCGAAACACGAGUGAAAUCCAUGAGCCUCCCGCGAUAUGAGUGUGGAAGGUCGUUUAGAGAGAGACGGCUGGAUGAACAAGUGCUGGAGAGAUUUGCUGGACAUGAAGUCGCCUGGUGGAUCACUUUAGCCUGGUCAUCUGAAUAGUAGCUUCAGAGCUGAGAAAGAAUGAACGUCGCUGGUCUACGAUCUACGAUGGAGUUCAAAAAGAAUAAGUGAGUCAAAUCUGCAAAUCAUCCUUGCCGUCCCUCGUGCUAACGCUGAUAUCGUCAUUAUAUUUGAUGCCAGUCUCGCUGCGAUCGACUUCGAUAAAGCACAUCGGAUACGUUGGGGAAAGCACGUCAUUGCAGCUUCAGCAGGUGUCCGCCGUCAGACAUCACACUCAUCCAAGUACCAGAACCCAAACGGACCAAACUUCAAUCGACAAUCGUUUACCUAAUUAACGUGGGAAAAAAAAAACCCCGGCUCCGUGAUCAACCUCUCCCAGUGUGUAAACGUGCCAUUCAUAGUGCUGAAAAGAGCUGUUGGCCUGCCACCUGCUGGAUUGUGAUGCAAGUCUGUUUGAUGAAGUUUGGCAUAGCCCCUGUGGUCCAGUAUUAGAUUCUCUGGCUUGAGGUCUCUGUAGAUGAUCCCUUUGGAAUGCAGGUCUAAAAAGCCCUUAAAUGGAAAGAAGACGUACCUGACGAUGAAGUCAGAGUGGGCUUCCUGCAUGAUGAGCUUUUCUGAACGAAUGUGCUCCUGUUGUCUGGUAUCAACGAUGUGCCGCUUCUUCAGGAUCUUCAUGGCGAAUGUUUUGUUUUCGUCACUCUUGAGCUGAACCUGCAGUUAAGAGAGAAUCAAGCCCACGCUCACUGACGAACCUGAUGACCUGCUGCUGACCUACACGGGCACCUGUUCUCCGGAGUCCACCUCUUAUCCACAGAUGCCCCACGUCUUAGUUUUUGAAGGGGACGCUUUGGUCUUUGGAUCAGUGGGUUUCAGACAGAUCUACGCCUGAACAAGCCUCUCUGGGUCACUUAAGAGCAGACUCCUGUCUCAGCGUGAGGCCGUCGACCCCGCAAAGGCUGAACAGCUGCACACCCAAAGCCGCCAGGAAAAUGCUCACCUCGAAAGUGCGCUCUCUUCGAGAGAAACAGAAAAACAACUGAAUUUACACGGAUUCAGAAGUGCACUCCUACUCACCUACAAGGCAAGGAGCAGUAAGGACAGACUCUAUGAGGUUCAUAAUACUGCCGAGGUGGGAUCAUGUCGUUGUUUUGCAAGUCACAAGUGUCAAGUCUUUGCCCUCAAUUCCUGAAUCAAGUCCCAAGUCAAAACUGGCAAGUCUCAAGUCAAGGCCCAAGUCCUGGAGCUUCAGUUUCAAAUUGACGGAUGAGACGGAGACGGAGGCAGAGGCGUCGUCUUGGUCCUCAGGGCGGAUUUGUAUCAUGUUACACUUUUUUUGUGUUUUUUUUAUCCUGUCUAUGCAAAUGUUUUCACACGUAAACAUUCUUCUGUACUUUUUUUUAUCAACUAAAAAUAAAGACAAAGGGCUGGAGCUACUUGUGGAGUCAUGUAGUGAAUUAAUCUAUUUCAUUAUUUAUACGGUCUGUUCUACUUAAUAUUAAAGAUGGAGAGGAUAAUAAUACCAGAUGAACGCACAGCCUAAGUUUUUUGUUUUUUUGCAACUAAUGUUUAUAGAGGCAGGGCUUCUAUUAUUGACUCCAUAAAUUAAAGAUAAUGCUGAUUUAAUCAUUAAUUAAAAAAGAAAAACCUAUUUUGAUUUUCUUUUUUUAAAACUUAC
Cynoglossus semilaevis (tongue sole) is the source of this 3792-nucleotide long non-coding RNA. RefSeq lists it as uncharacterized. NCBI's taxonomy places the organism in Eukaryota, Metazoa, Chordata, Actinopteri, Pleuronectiformes, Cynoglossidae. The record is from RefSeq and is a predicted model, not a curated record. The transcript is spliced from 16 exons.